UUUCUUUUGUUGCUAAGUUUCCUUAUCUUUUCAAGAGAGACAAUAAUACCAACUGGUUCAUAGGAUUAUUACAAAGAUUAAAUAAAUUAAUACAUGUGAAUACACAUAAAGAGAUUGGGAUGAUACCUACCACAUAAGAAGCAUGCAGUAAGUAUUAGCUAUUAUCCAGGUUAAGUUUGUAGUGUAACAAUCAUUGGUCAGAGAGAUAGAAUUAGGACAUGUGACAUGGAAGCCAGAAGAGUAGAGGGUUUCAAGAAGAGCAUGAUGAACAGUGCAAAAUGAUGCAGAGAUGUCAAGUAGGAUCAAACAAAUAGACUUGACACCUACAAGGUCAGGCAGUGCUGUGACAGAGGGAGAUGCCAAAUUACACUGGACUGAAAAUAUUUGUUGGGCCCUUUUUGUUCUUCAGGGCCAGGUCUCCUGCUGUUUCAGCCCUUAACAUGCUCCCAAGCAAGACUGAACCUGUGGCGGUUUGCUAAGGUGUAGCAGAGAGAACACUCGAUUUGGAGUCAGAACAACUGGGUUAAAGUCUCUGGUCUUCUUCCACUUGACAUCUGUGGGCACCUCCCGGAGCUCCAGGUGCCUCACUCUUAGAGGAUGCUUGUUCCUAUGUUACAAGGUUGGUGACAGGUUUAAGUGAAGAGGAAACAUAAUAGUAAGUCAUGAAUAAAUGGUUCUCUUCUGACUCCUCUUCUCGUUCUGACAUUCUAACUCAGUAGUUCUUCCUGUGUACCAGGUCUCGUGAAGUGGGGUAUUCCCAUCUUUCAGAGACUUGGCUUACAGGUUUGCAAUGAUAAUAAGAUGAGAUUAAUGCAUGUCAAAUGCUUAUGACAAUUUUGGAUUGCUGUUAUAUUCUAAUGGAAAGUGUUUGCCUGAUUUUUAGUGGUGCCUCUGUCUUCAGGUCUGCUUCCUGAGCCACUGUGUUCCUCAUGGUUUGUGAUGUUCAUCAACUUACCCAUCCUCAGGUGUUGCCAGAAGAAGCAAGUGCUUUAAAUAUUAUCAUUGACUCUAUCAAUGGAUCUUUUUGUUCCCUUUGUUUUGGUUGUAGAUAUGAGAAUCCAUUUAAGUGAGUUGUGAGUGCACUGCAGAAGUUUGUUUGAGGAUUUCAUCUGCUGUUCAGUAAACAAACAUGGGGCUCCUGCUGAGUUUCUACAGCUACCAAAGCAAAGAUGUUUUCAAGUGGAGUAACUGUCCAGUCCUGAUCGCUUUCACCCUUAUAAGUUGCAUUUCAGGGCAGGAUGUGGACUGAAUGAGACAUCCAUCCAAAGCUCCUUCAAACAUAAGCUGGGCUAUGAAUUAUUAAGACAAACCAGGCUGGUUAACUGAAGGACUGAUUGCUGGCUGGGGUCUUCUGGAUGUGACAAGAGGCAAAGGCUUGAAGACACCCUUCAAUUUUAGGAAGGUAUUUUGGUACUAAAGAUACUCCUUACUCUCGUCUUUUCCCUUUGCACUUUGUUUCAGAGGGAAUUUUGCUGAUGAGACUUUUUAUUUCCUGACCACUUUUUUGUGGAAAUCUGGGUAUUUUGCAAAUGUACAGGGAUUCUAGUCCUGAAAUGUAAACAGAAUAUACUUCACUGCAAACCUUUAGUGGACCAAAAUCUCUGCAGGCUGAGCUGUAUGGGUUAAGUUGGCUGCAGUAAUCUGGACCCACCUUCACCCAUUUACAGAAGUGACUUUCUGUUGGUUCUUUUAUCUUAAAUGCACUUCUUGGCCUGCUCAGAGAACACAUAGCAUCUAUGUAAUGAACAAGGAAAACUUCCAGGCUAUCAACAAAUAUAAUCCAUAGGAGUUUGACUGUGUGUGCCUACCUUGCGCCAGGUAAUGCAUCAGGUACUUUGAAUACAUUAUCCCUUUGAAUUAAGUACCCUCAUGAGGUGAGUACUCUUAUUGUUAUGAUAUCACAGAUAAGUUUACCC
This 1916-nucleotide long non-coding RNA is filed under the name Equus caballus (horse). RNAcentral's name for it is "lncRNA (ENSECAG00000044510.1)". The record is from RNAcentral. Lineage: Eukaryota; Metazoa; Chordata; Mammalia; Perissodactyla; Equidae.